CAAAUUAGGAGGUAGGGAGAGAACUCAGUUUUCCCGGCUCAGGGGCCAGGCAGGCGUCUUGGGGGCCAUGCAGAAGGCUCCUGGAGGGUGAGAGAGAAAGUGCAGGUGCCUGGUGAGGCCAGGUCUUUGAAGAGGCCAAGACAUGGUGUUCCCAACAGAAGAACGGCCUGAAGUUGAAAGGCCUUGGGGGUGUGAGUGUCUCUGCUUUUUCCAGAAAGAUUUCUUAGGACAUCAAGUCGUCUGAAAAGGUUUCCUUUUUGGAGAACAAGCCUCGCUCUUUGGGGUACUGGAUGGUCUCUAAGAGGCACUGCCUGUCCCAGUUUCUACAAAGUUGGGGCAGCCUCUCUGGGAUAGGCCAGCCCAGCUCUGAAAGCUGAGCCAAGGGGCUGUUUCUGGAAGAUGGAAGAAUCUUGGUGAAACGGCACAAGUAUGGGCUGUUCAACAAUUAACCAGGUUAUCACAAACUACAAGGAUGGGGUGGUAUCUAAGCUGUUGAAGUCGAAAACCUAUUUAAUGUGUAGAGCCUCCAAUCUUUACCCCAGUAGCCUGCCACUGGAAUAUGAGCUCCAAGAAGGCAGCGUGGAGUAUCAUCACAGAGAAUCUACAAUGUGCUACUGUGUGCUCUCUGCUAGAAGCUGAAGAUAAGGAGUCAACAAGAUUCAGACAAUAUCCUGGAAGAAUCUGCAGACUAAGAAAAGAUAUAUGCACAAAUAAAUAAUGAUACAAUAUGCUAGGAUUUAUUAGGAAUAUAUAGACAACGUACUGAGUGACUACAGUUACCGAACAACUGACUCUCUCAGAGGAGGUAAAGGAAGGAUUCACUGGGAAGGUAAUCUUUGAGCUGGGUUUUGAAGGAUGAAUAAGAGUCUACCAGGAAGAGAAAAAGAGGAAAUCAAGGGUGGCCACAAGACAAGGGCCAGAGUAAUUCAGGGGUCCAGUGAUAAUGCUCCGAGGUGGCUAAUCGUCAUUCGUAGGAGCUAUGGCUCAAGUGUCGCAAAUUGUGACUUGUUGAAUAGAAGCUUUUAAUUUGAUAAUAUAAUGCAGAAAACAUUUUAAGUACAGA
RNAcentral lists this long non-coding RNA (1063 nucleotides) under Cercocebus atys (sooty mangabey). RNAcentral's name for it is "lncRNA (ENSCATG00000045697.1)". Lineage: Eukaryota; Metazoa; Chordata; Mammalia; Primates; Cercopithecidae. The record is from RNAcentral.